Molecule: ribosomal RNA, 390 nt
Filed under: uncultured Spumella
Lineage: Eukaryota; Synurophyceae; Ochromonadales; Ochromonadaceae
Description: partial small subunit ribosomal RNA
Rfam family: Eukaryotic small subunit ribosomal RNA
Source: RNAcentral
GCUUGUCUCAAAGAUUAAGCCAUGCAUGUCUUAGUGUAAAUAACUCUUAUGAAACUGCGAAUGGCUCAUUAUAUCAGUUAUAGUUUAUUUGAUGGUUCUUGCUACUUGGAUAACCGUAGUAAUUCUAGAGCUAAUACAUGCGUCAAACCCCGACUUCUGGGAGGGGUGUAUUUAUUAGAUGGAAACCAAUGCGGGGCAACCCGGUAUAUGGUGAUUCAUAAUAACUUUCGGAUCGAUCUUCGGAUCGAUGCAUCAUUCAAGUUUCUGCCCUAUCAGCUUUGGAUGGUAGGGUAUUGGCCUACCAUGGCUUUAACGGGUAACGGAGAAUUAGGGUUCGAUUCCGGAGAGGGAGCCUGAGAAAUGGCUACCACAUCCAAGGAAGGCAGCAGG